RNAcentral lists this ribosomal RNA (395 nucleotides) under uncultured bacterium. RNAcentral's name for it is "partial 16S ribosomal RNA". It matches the Rfam family "Bacterial small subunit ribosomal RNA", at positions 523 to 918 of the family's 1533-position model. The record is from RNAcentral.
AUACGUAGGUGCCAAGCGUUAUCCGGAUUUACUGGGCGUAAAGGGCGUGUAGGCGGUCUUGCAAGUCAGAAGUGAAAUUCCUGAGCUCAACUCGGGCGCUGCUUCUGAAACUGCAGGACUUGAGUGCUGGAGGGGAUAGCGGAAUUCCUAGUGGAGCGGUAAAAUGCGCAGAUAUUAGGAAGAACACCGGUGGCGAAGGCGGCUAUAUGGACAGUAACUGACGCUGAGGCGCGAAAGCGUGGGGAGCAAACAGGAUUAGAUACCCUGAUAGUCCACGCCGUAAACGAUGUAUGCUGGGUGUGGGAGUAUCGAUACCUCCGUGCCGAAGUUAACGCGAUAAGCAUACCGCCUGGGGAGUACGGUCGCAAGAUUGAAACUCAAAUGAAUUGACGGGG